Molecule: unclassified non-coding RNA, 341 nt
Filed under: soil metagenome
Description: partial contains 5.8S ribosomal RNA, internal transcribed spacer 2, and large subunit ribosomal RNA
Rfam family: 5.8S ribosomal RNA (bases 1-120)
Source: RNAcentral
GAUGAAGAACGUAGCGAAAUGCGAUAAGUAGUGUGAAUUGCAGAAUUCAGUGAAUCAUCGAAUCUUUGAACGCACAUUGCGCCCUUUGGUAUUCCAAAGGGCAUGUCUGUUCGAGCGUCAUUUGUACCCUCAAGCUUUGCUUGGUGUUGGGCGUCUUGUCUCUAGCUUUGCUGGAGACUCGCCUUAAAGUAAUUGGCAGCCGGCCUACUGGUUUCGGAGCGCAGCACAAGUCGCACUCUCUAUCAGCAAAGGUCUAGCAUCCAUUAAGCCUUUUUUUCAACUUUUGACCUCGGAUCAGGUAGGGAUACCCGCUGAACUUAAGCAUAUCAAUAAGCGGAGGA